This 363-nucleotide long non-coding RNA is filed under the name Malus domestica (apple). Its description in RNAcentral is "long non-coding RNA (MDOM_LNC014475)". Lineage: Eukaryota; Viridiplantae; Streptophyta; Magnoliopsida; Rosales; Rosaceae. The record is from RNAcentral.
GAACAGGUAUGAGGCCUGGAGACAUUGUGACAGCAUCAAAUGGAAAGACAAUUGAGGUCAAUAACACUGAUGCUGAAGGUAGACUUACUCUGGCUGACACAUUGGUAUAUGCUUGUAACCAAGGUGUUGAUAAGAUUGUUGACCUAGCAACCUUAACCGGUGCUUGCAUAGUUGCUUUUGGACCCUCAAUAGCAGGUGUCUUCACACCAAGUGAUGACCUGGCGAAGGAGGUGUUUGCAGCUUCAGAAAUCAGUGGGGAGAAAUUUUGGAGGUUGCCAAUGGAGGAGAGUUAUUGGGAAUCAAUGAAAUCCGGAAUAGCCGAUAUGCUCAACACCGGUGCUCGUCAAGGUGGUUCAAUAACUG